UUGAGAAUAGUCAAUGACAGAGCAGUCACUACUCGCCAACUCCGACGGAUCAUGCGCAAGCAUAAAAAAGAGAUGUUGGAGGUGAAGGCUUCAAUUCAAUCAUUGAGUCUAGCAAUGUAGACCAUUGAGGACCGUAUCAUUGCUCAAAUUCUUGACGACCUUAAAUCACAAGGCGGUCCAUCUCACGGUGCUGGUCUAUAGCACGAUGAUGCUGAUGAUGGACAGCAUCAUGAACCUAGUGUUGACAUUGACGAUGACGUUCUUGGUGCUGACGGAGAGCACGUAACUCAUAUCAAUGAUGUCGUCGAUGCAUCUGUUGGAGGGGACGGGGAGCCUGACUCAGUCGUGGCUAAAAGAAAGCAUCUUCUUUCGAUCGAUGCAUUCGUCGACACAACAGCAGGAGCUAUUCUUCUUUAUAGUGGGAGCACUUCUGAUGCAAUUAAGAUACGGUCAUCGUCACCAGAGUCAUUUGCUGUCCAUCAUGGUGCAGCAAAAAUUUCAGACCCAACUGAGCGAGCACGGUUGAAAAUGGCGAGCAAAUACAUGGCAAGCCCGUUCGUCGACCCCUUAGUGACCCGUCGAGAUGUGAGGGAUAAAAUCGUAGAAGAGUACGAAGCUUUCAACAAAGACGAGUCCGCGAGGUCAGCUCGUAAAUAACAUUGCAAAUAUUGUUUUUUAAUGAAACAUUAAUCCACCAAGACUUAUGAAAUUCAUUAUGUUACAUAUACAAGCGUAACGUCGACAUCUUAGGGGAUCAAGGGGCUGACUUUUUCAUAACCUUAGAGGAUCCCAAUGAGGAAAUGACAAGUGAACAUAUCGACGCUUGCCCUCAGCCUAUUCUGCAAGCGAAUGACAAGGUCAAAGUUAAAGUUGUACACUACCCGUGCAUGCGUGGUUGACACGAUAUUCUUCGAAACCAUCUAAAUGCUACACAUGAAAUUUCCAAUAGAAGAUGCUCGGGCCACAAUGCAAAUUCAAGAUGAGUUGCGGGGGUAUGUGGAGGGUGAAAGGCCAACAUACACCAAAAAAUGGGAAGAUGUGGAUUUCAUCCUCGCGCCUUGCAACGUUGGUGGGCAUUGGGUGGUUGCGAAGAUCGACUUGAUGAGGUGGACGAUCAAGGUGCUAGACUCCGCAAGAACUUCAGAUGCUAAGGAUAACGGAGUUCUUGUGGGUCAGAUGACACCCUUGACGACAAUGAUGCCAUUCAUCUGCCACCAAGCUGGUUAUUUCAACAACAUACGUUAGAAGAGACGAGAUUUGACGCCAAUGCCAUUGGAUAUUUAUUUACCAAAAGCUAAAGUGCAUCGGCAAAAUGAUAGUGUUAGCUGCGGUAUGUUCAUGAUAGGGUACAUGGACCAUAUUUUGCAAUCAGAAAAGAUCUGAGUUAAGCAGAAUAUGAUUGCAAAAAUGCGUCGGCAAUACGCUCUAGAAAUAUUUUCCAACAAUUGUGAUAACGAACU
Molecule: long non-coding RNA, 1460 nt
Organism: Theobroma cacao (cacao)
Lineage: Eukaryota; Viridiplantae; Streptophyta; Magnoliopsida; Malvales; Malvaceae
Source: RefSeq, a predicted model, not a curated record